UUCUUCGGGGCAGGGUGCAAUUCCCAACCGGCGGUAUAGUCCGCGACCCGCUGUAAACAAUUUGUCUACAGUGGCUGAUUUGGUGUAAUUCCAAAACCGACAGUAAAGUCUGGAUGAGAGAAGAA
Molecule: non-coding RNA, 125 nt
Filed under: uncultured Lachnoclostridium sp.
Lineage: Bacteria; Bacillati; Bacillota; Clostridia; Lachnospirales; Lachnospiraceae
Description: FMN riboswitch (RFN element)
Rfam family: FMN riboswitch aptamer (RFN element)
About the family: The RFN element is a highly conserved domain that is found frequently in the 5'-untranslated regions of prokaryotic mRNAs that encode for flavin mononucleotide (FMN) biosynthesis and transport proteins. This element is a metabolite-dependent riboswitch that directly binds FMN in the absence of proteins.
Source: RNAcentral